This 910-nucleotide long non-coding RNA is filed under the name Homo sapiens (human). RNAcentral describes it as "long non-coding RNA NONHSAT217520.1". Lineage: Eukaryota; Metazoa; Chordata; Mammalia; Primates; Hominidae. The record is from RNAcentral.
GCGGCAGGUUGGUCCUGGAGCAGAUAAGCGCAGAAUAUUUAGGCGAAAGCGAGAGGAAGGGGGGAGCGCGGGGCAGGAGGAGUACCUCGGCCAAGAAAAUUAUGCAUGCGUUAGGGAAGCUCUGAGAGAAUGGCUGUGGAAGCUCUCCACUGUGGUUUGAAUCCACGGGGUAUUGAUCACCCUGCCCAUGCUGAAGGUAUUAAACUGCAAAUUGAAGGUGAAGGUGUGGAAUCUCAAUCCAUUAAAAAUAAAAAUUUCCAGAAGGUGCCUGACCAGAAAGGAACUCCCAAGCGACUGCAGGCAGAAGCUGAGACGGCUAAGGGCGAGCCCUGCUGAGACUUACUGACAAAAAGCUCGAGCGAAUGGGGAUUGCCCAGGAGAACCUCCGGCAGCACAUCUUACAACAGGUGCUCCAGCUGAAGGUGCGAGAAGAAGUCAGAAAUCUACAGUUACUCACACAAGCAUCAUCUGAGGGUUCUCCAUAAACACGGUUAGCCUUCCAAGCUGCUGUCCUGCCAGUUGAUAUGAACAUGGCCUGUUCCUCACAGAAAGACUAACCCAUGGCACUGCCAGAAGAUAUCCUUGGAUCGUGGACAGAUUAACUGGAUUAACUGAAAAAAGCACCCAUUCAGUCAAUAUUAUGGGUUUUGGAAAAAUCUUGCUUUGCUGUGGAUUUAAAAUGAGGUGCAUAAUAUAAUGCCAACUCAUUCCAAGUGGUCAUUGGCAGACCAUUAGCUGGAAAAUUGCUUCCAGUUUUCAUCACUGUGCAUAACUCAAGUUCCCUUUGGGGAGCUGUCUGUGCCCUUCACUAGAAGUCCUGUUUUAGCAUGGCAACUACUGGAUUAUUUUAUUAUGUGUGCAGAUGGCAUGAUGUUUUAGAAAAAAAAAAUUACAGCAAUUCUGCAAUCUC